CUUUUAGUAGCUAAGAAUAAGCGUUAGACUUUUAUUCUAAAGAUGAAUAGAUUCCUGAAAGA
Molecule: transfer RNA, 62 nt
Filed under: Nipponnemertes punctatula
Lineage: Eukaryota; Metazoa; Nemertea; Enopla; Monostilifera; Cratenemertidae
Description: tRNA-Lys
Rfam family: tRNA
About the family: Transfer RNA (tRNA) molecules are approximately 80 nucleotides in length.
Source: RNAcentral